Molecule: non-coding RNA, 29 nt
Filed under: Homo sapiens (human)
Lineage: Eukaryota; Metazoa; Chordata; Mammalia; Primates; Hominidae
Source: RNAcentral
UCCUCUCCCUGAAGUGCCUUGUAUACAGC